This 75-nucleotide transfer RNA is filed under the name Actinomycetota bacterium. RNAcentral's name for it is "tRNA-Ile". It matches the Rfam family "tRNA". From Rfam's summary of the family: Transfer RNA (tRNA) molecules are approximately 80 nucleotides in length. Their secondary structure includes four short double-helical elements and three loops (D, anti-codon, and T loops). Lineage: Bacteria; Bacillati; Actinomycetota. RNAcentral also lists the same sequence under 1 other name. The record is from RNAcentral.
GGGGCGGUAGCUCAACAGGUCAGAGCAGCGGGCUCAUAACCCGUCAGGUUCCGGGUUCGAAUCCCGGCCGCCCUA